GGGGCUGGGGCUCAGUGGUAGAGCACUUGCUUGGCAUGCAGAAGCCCUGGGUCCAAUCCCUAGGACCCCA
This 70-nucleotide transfer RNA is filed under the name Marmota monax (woodchuck). It matches the Rfam family "tRNA". Rfam says of the family: Transfer RNA (tRNA) molecules are approximately 80 nucleotides in length. Their secondary structure includes four short double-helical elements and three loops (D, anti-codon, and T loops). The record is from Rfam by way of RNAcentral. Lineage: Eukaryota; Metazoa; Chordata; Mammalia; Rodentia; Sciuridae.